UGUGGGAGCGAGCCUGCUCGCGAUGCAGGCGCCACGGUACGUCUGAAGUAUCGCGGUGAUGCAAUCGCGAGCAGGCUCGCUCCCACA
This 87-nucleotide unclassified non-coding RNA is filed under the name Pseudomonas mohnii. The record is from RNAcentral. Lineage: Bacteria; Pseudomonadati; Pseudomonadota; Gammaproteobacteria; Pseudomonadales; Pseudomonadaceae.